GAGGAAUAUUGGUCAAUGGCCGAGAGGCUGAACCAGCCAAGUCGCGUGAAGGAAGAAGGAUCUAUGGUUUGUAAACUUCUUUUAUAGGGGAAUAAAGUGGAGGACGUGUCCUUUUUUGUAUGUACCCUAUGAAUAAGCAUCGGCUAACUCCGUGCCAGCAGCCGCGGUAAUACGGAGGAUGCGAGCGUUAUCCGGAUUUAUUGGGUUUAAAGGGUGCGUAGGUGGUGAUUUAAGUCAGCGGUGAAAGUUUGUGGCUCAACCAUAAAAUUGCCGUUGAAACUGGGUUACUUGAGUGUGUUUGAGGUAGGCGGAAUGCGUGGUGUAGCGGUGAAAUGCAUAGAUAUCACGCAGAACUCCGAUUGCGAAGGCAGCUUACUAAACCAUAACUGACACUGAAGCACGAAAGCGUGGGGAUCAAACAGGAUUAGAUACCCUGGUAGUCCACGCAGUAAACGAUGAUUACUAGGAGUUUGCGAUACAAUGUAAGCUCUACAGCGAAAGCGUUAAGUAAUCCACCUGGGGAGUACGCCGGCAACGGUGAAACUCAAAGGAAUUGACGGGGGCCCGCACAAGCGGAGGAACAUGUGGUUUAAUUCGAUGAUACGCGAGGAACCUUACCCGGGUUUGAACGUAGUCUGACCGGAGUGGAAACACUUUUUCUAGCAAUAGCAGAUUACGAGGUGCUGCAUGGUUGUCGUCAGCUCGUGCCGUGAGGUGUCGGCUUAAGUGCCAUAACGAGCGCAACCCUUAUCACUAGUUACUAACAGGUGAAGCUGAGGACUCUGGUGAGACUGCCAGCGUAAGCUGUGAGGAAGGUGGGGAUGACGUCAAAUCAGCACGGCCCUUACAUCCGGGGCGACACACGUGUUACAAUGGCAUGGACAAAGGGCAGCUACCUGGCGACAGGAUGCUAAUCUCCAAACCAUGUCUCAGUUCGGAUCGGAGUCUGCAACUCGACUCCGUGAAGCUGGAUUCGCUAGUAAUCGCGCAUCAGCCAUGGCGCGGUGAAUACGUUCCCG
This 1019-nucleotide ribosomal RNA is filed under the name uncultured organism. Its description in RNAcentral is "bacterial SSU rRNA". It matches the Rfam family "Bacterial small subunit ribosomal RNA", at positions 356 to 1376 of the family's 1533-position model. The record is from RNAcentral.